GAAAUGCGAUAAGUAAUGUGAAUUGCAGAAUUCAGUGAAUCAUCGAAUCUUUGAACGCACCUUGCGCCCUUUGGUAUUCCGAAGGGCAUGCCUGUUUGAGUGUCAUUAAAUUCUCAACCUUAGGAGGCUUUGUCUUUUCUAAGGCUUGGAUGUGGAGGUUGCGGGCUUCUCAAGUCGGCUCCUCUGAAAUGCAUUAGCUGGGUUUGCGCCUUCAGCCUAUUGGUGUGAUAAUUAUCUACGCCUCUUGGGUCGUUAGCGUGUAUAAAUCUUUCCAGCUUCUAACCGUCCGCAAGGACAAUACUUGACCAUUUGACCUCAAAUCAGGUAGGAUUACCCGCUGAACUUAA
RNAcentral lists this ribosomal RNA (347 nucleotides) under Hohenbuehelia sp. 223-797. RNAcentral describes it as "eukaryotic LSU rRNA". The stretch from base 1 to 105 matches the Rfam family "5.8S ribosomal RNA", at positions 50 to 154 of the family's 154-position model. Lineage: Eukaryota; Fungi; Basidiomycota; Agaricomycetes; Agaricales; Pleurotaceae. The record is from RNAcentral.